AGAGUUUGAUCCUGGCUCAGGAUGAACGCUGGCGGUAUGCUUUACACAUGCAAGUCGUACGAGAGUUUUUAACUCAAGUGGCGGACGGGUGAGUAACACGUAAGAAUUUACCUUUAGGAGGGGGACAACAACUGGAAACGGUUGCUAAUACCCCAUAUGCUUUCGAGUGAAAUGGAUUUUCCGCCUAAAGAGAAGCUUGCGGCUGAUUAGCUUGUUGGGGAGGUAAUGGCUCACCAAGGCGACGAUCAGUAUCUGGUUUGAGAGGACGAUCAGACACACUGGAACUGAGACACGGUCCAGACUCCUACGGGAGGCAGCAGUGGGGAAUUUUCCGCAAUGGGCGAAAGCCUGACGGAGCAAUACCGCGUGAGGGAUGACGGCCUAUGGGUUGUAAACCUCUUUUUUCAGGGAGGAAUAAAUGACGUGUACCUGAAGAAUAAGCAUCGGCUAACUCCGUGCCAGCAGCCGCGGUAAGACGGAGGAUGCAAGUGUUAUCCGGAAUCACUGGGCGUAAAGCGUCUGUAGGUGGUUUAAUAAGUCAACUGUUAAAUCUUGAGGCUCAACUUCAAAAUCGCA
Molecule: ribosomal RNA, 576 nt
Filed under: uncultured cyanobacterium
Lineage: Bacteria; Bacillati; Cyanobacteriota
Description: bacterial SSU rRNA
Rfam family: Bacterial small subunit ribosomal RNA
Source: RNAcentral